CAUCGGCACCUGAUCAAGCCGUGGUCUGGCAUCCCGGCCUGUCCCCCGCCGCGCCAGACCAGAGGACAAAGGCCUUAUCCCCCUCUCCGGGCCUUUGUCCACAAUUUGCAAGGGCCGCUUCGGACGUACCUCCCGUCCGAAGCGGCCCUUC
Molecule: small RNA, 151 nt
Filed under: Mycoplana azooxidifex
Lineage: Bacteria; Pseudomonadati; Pseudomonadota; Alphaproteobacteria; Hyphomicrobiales; Rhizobiaceae
Description: Alphaproteobacterial sRNA ar7
Rfam family: Alphaproteobacterial sRNA ar7
Source: Rfam by way of RNAcentral